GAAUCACUCUGUUCACUCACAAUUUUCCAAUCUUGAGUCUCAAAUUCUGAGUUAAAAUGUCUGCUGGACGCCCUAAAUCUGAUGAACGCCCUAAGGUUAUCAAACUUAAGAUUAUGAUUGACAAGAACAGAAAUCGAGUUAUCUUUGCAGAGUCGGACCAUGAAUUCAUCGACACACUCUUCUCAUUCUUGACACUCCCGUUA
RNAcentral lists this unclassified non-coding RNA (203 nucleotides) under Hevea brasiliensis (rubber tree). Lineage: Eukaryota; Viridiplantae; Streptophyta; Magnoliopsida; Malpighiales; Euphorbiaceae. The record is from RNAcentral.